CAGUGCCACGGGAAUACGUAGGGUGCAAGCGUUGUCCGGAAUUAUUGGGCGUAAAGAGCUCGUAGGCGGUUUGUCGCGUCUGCUGUGAAAUCCCGAGGCUCAACCUCGGGCUUGCAGUGGGUACGGGCAGACUAGAGUGCGGUAGGGGAGAUUGGAAUUCCUGGUGUAGCGGUGGAAUGCGCAGAUAUCAGGAGGAACACCGAUGGCGAAGGCAGAUCUCUGGGCCGUAACUGACGCUGAGGAGCGAAAGCGUGGGGAGCGAACAGGAUUAGAUACCCCUGUAGUCCCUGUCUCUUAUACA
Molecule: ribosomal RNA, 301 nt
Filed under: uncultured bacterium
Lineage: Bacteria
Description: partial 16S ribosomal RNA
Rfam family: Bacterial small subunit ribosomal RNA
Source: RNAcentral